This is a non-coding RNA of Pimephales promelas (fathead minnow), 174 nucleotides long. Lineage: Eukaryota; Metazoa; Chordata; Actinopteri; Cypriniformes; Leuciscidae. The record is from RefSeq and is a predicted model, not a curated record.
UGUCAGCUCCUCUGAAUGGCAUAAUCGCUCCCUAAACAACUCCCAUCCUGAGGCAAACACACACUGAAUCUGCAGCCCAGAAAAAAUAAAGAGAAUCUCACCUGCAAAUCAACACAACGAAUGAUGAAAUGUUCUCCACCAGUUCCACCAAAUCUCAGCAGUGUAACUUUACAA